This 467-nucleotide ribosomal RNA is filed under the name uncultured bacterium. Its description in RNAcentral is "partial 16S ribosomal RNA". It matches the Rfam family "Bacterial small subunit ribosomal RNA", at positions 28 to 507 of the family's 1533-position model. The record is from RNAcentral.
GAUGAACGCUGGCGGCGUGCUUAACACAUGCAAGUCGAACGGAAAGGCUCCUGCUUGCCGGGGUACUCGAGUGGCGAACGGGUGAGUAACACGUGGGUGAUCUGCCCUGCACUUCGGGAUAAGCCUGGGAAACUGGGUCUAAUACCGGAUAGGACCACAUUUUGGAUGGUGUGGUGGAAAGUUUUUCGGUGUGGGAUGAGCUCGCGGCCUAUCAGCUUGUUGGUGGGGUAAUGGCCUACCAAGGCGUCGACGGGUAGCCGGCCUGGGAGGGUGUACGGCCACAUUGGGACUGAGAUACGGCCCAGACUCCUACGGGAGGCAGCAGUGGGGAAUAUUGCACAAUGGGCGCAAGCCUGAUGCAGCGACGCCGCGUGGGGGAUGACGGCCUUCGGGUUGUAAACUCCUGUCGCUAGGGACGAAGCGUUUUUGUGACGGUACCUGGAGAAGAAGCACCGGCUAACUACGUG